UGGGGAAUAUUGCACAAUGGAGGGAACUCUGAUGCAGCGACGCCGCGUGAGUGUUGAAGGACUUCGUUUCGUAAAACUCUGUUCUAUGGGAAGAAAAGGACUGUACCAUAGGAGAAAGCUCCGGCUAAAUACGUGCCAGCAGCCGCGGUAAUACGUAUGGAGCGAGCGUUGUCCGGAAUUAUUGGGCGUAAAGGGUGCGCAGGCGGCUUUACAAGUUGGAUGUGAAAUAUUGUGGCUCAACCACAAACGUGCAUCCAAAACUGCAAAGCUUGAGUUAAGGAGAGGUAAGUGGAAUUCCUGGUGUAGCGGUCGAAUGCGUAGAUAUCAGGAGGAAUACCGGUGGCGAAGGCGACUUACUGGACUUAAACUGACGCUCAGGCACGAAAGCGUGGGGAGCAAACAGG
Molecule: ribosomal RNA, 404 nt
Filed under: Fusobacteriota bacterium
Lineage: Bacteria; Fusobacteriati; Fusobacteriota
Description: Fusobacteria bacterium partial 16S ribosomal RNA
Rfam family: Bacterial small subunit ribosomal RNA
Source: RNAcentral